Molecule: ribosomal RNA, 468 nt
Filed under: uncultured bacterium
Lineage: Bacteria
Description: partial 16S ribosomal RNA
Rfam family: Bacterial small subunit ribosomal RNA
Source: RNAcentral
GACGAACGCUGGCGGCGUGCUUAACACAUGCAAGUCGAACGGAAAGGCCCUGCUUUUGUGGGGUGCUCGAGUGGCGAACGGGUGAGUAACACGUGAGUAACCUGCCCUUGACUUUGGGAUAACUUCAGGAAACUGGGGCUAAUACCGGAUAGGAGCUCCUGCUGCAUGGUGGGGGUUGGAAAGUUUCGGCGGUUGGGGAUGGACUCGCGGCUUAUCAGCUUGUUGGUGGGGGAGUGGCUUACCAAGGCUUUGACGGGUAGCCGGCCUGGGAGGGUGACCGGGCACAUUGGGCCUAAGGUACGGCCCAGAGUCCAACGGGAGGCAGCAGUGGGGAAUAUUACACAGUGGGCGGAAGCCUGAUACAGCAACGCCGCGUGCGGGAUGACGGCCUGCGGGUUGUGAACCGCUUUCGCCUGUGACGCAGCGUGAGUGACGGUAAUGGGUAAAGAAGCACCGGCUAACUACGUG